CAGCAGCCGCGGGAAUACGUAGGGGGCAAGCGUUGUCCGGAAUUAUUGGGCGUAAAGCGCGCGCAGGCGGUUUUUUAAGUCUGGUGUCUAAGUGCGGGGCUCAACCCCGUGACGCACUGGAAACUGGGAGACUUGAGUGCAGAAGAGGAGAGCGGAAUUCCACGUGUAGCGGUGAAAUGCGUAGAGAUGUGGAGGAACACCAGUGGCGAAGGCGGCUCUCUGGACUGUAACUGACGCUGAGGCGCGAAAGCGUGGGGAGCAAACAGGAUUAGAGACCCGUGUAGUCCCUGUCUCUUAUACA
Molecule: ribosomal RNA, 301 nt
Filed under: uncultured bacterium
Lineage: Bacteria
Description: partial 16S ribosomal RNA
Rfam family: Bacterial small subunit ribosomal RNA
Source: RNAcentral